AUAGGUCAGGGGUCUGCAACCCGCAGCUCCGGAGCCGCAUGUGGCUCUUUUACACCUUUGCCGCGGCUCCGGGGCGGAUACUAGCGAGGGGAGGAGGCGCAUUGUGCGCCCCGACACUCCCCACUGUGGCGGAAGCUGUACUGGCUGUGACGUCGCAUGAGGGCGGUGCGUGCGUUAGUCACGCACCGUCCCGACGUCACCUUCCCGCCCGCUGUCAGAUCGCGGCUCCGGAGAUAUAUUUGUUUUAAAUGUUGCAAUGGUUUUGCGGCUCCCAGUUUUUUUUUCUUCGGAAACGGGUCCAAGUGGCUCUUUUUGUCUUAAAGGUUGCAGACCCCUGGUAUAGACAGAAGACCAUCAAGAUCAUAAAGAACUUGCAUAUGGGAGUGGAUUCAGCACAGACUGGAACAAAGGACAAUAAUCAGCUCUUCCCUCUGGGGGCAGGAAACUGCAAACUCCCCUCUGUCACCUGGAAAGUACUCAUGGGGAGGGGGAAAAGGGGGAACCAGCCAGGUGACAGGACACUCAGGUUACCACCACAACUCCUCCCUCAACCCCUCCUUUCUGUGAUGUAUGUAUGAUGUUUCUGGGGGUGGUCUUGAUCUACAGGAUGGGAAUUUCAAAAGUCUUUAUAAGACCUUGCACACCAUUUUUUCUGUGUCCUUCCUCUCUCCUGCAAGUGAGGGGAGCACCCUGUUGCAACAGUUCAAUAAAGGUCAAGCCUACAGGCUGCUGUUUUGCUCCAA
Molecule: long non-coding RNA, 743 nt
Organism: Podarcis raffonei (Aeolian wall lizard)
Lineage: Eukaryota; Metazoa; Chordata; Lepidosauria; Squamata; Lacertidae
Exons: 2
Source: RefSeq, a predicted model, not a curated record